RNAcentral lists this ribosomal RNA (887 nucleotides) under Pantoea agglomerans. RNAcentral's name for it is "partial 23S ribosomal RNA". It matches the Rfam family "Bacterial large subunit ribosomal RNA", at positions 322 to 1212 of the family's 2925-position model. The record is from RNAcentral. Lineage: Bacteria; Pseudomonadati; Pseudomonadota; Gammaproteobacteria; Enterobacterales; Erwiniaceae.
UUGUGUGUUAGUGGAAGCGUCUGGAAAGUCGCAGGGUACAGGGUGAUACUCCCGUACACAAAAGCACACAUGCUGUGAGCUCGAUGAGUAAGGCGGGACACGUGGUAUCCUGUCUGAAUAUGGGGGGACCAUCCUCCAAGGCUAAAUACUCCUGACUGACCGAUAGUGAACCAGUACCGUGAGGGAAAGGCGAAAAGAACCCCGGCGAGGGGAGUGAAACAGAACCUGAAACCGUGUACGUACAAGCAGUGGGAGCCUUCUUUAUGGGGGUGACUGCGUACCUUUUGUAUAAUGGGUCAGCGACUUAUAUUCUGUAGCAAGGUUAACCGUAUAGGGGAGCCGCAGGGAAACCGAGUCUUAACUGGGCGUUAAGUUGCAGGGUAUAGACCCGAAACCCGGUGAUCUAGCCAUGGGCAGGUUGAAGGUUGGGUAACACUAACUGGAGGACCGAACCGACUAAUGUUGAAAAAUUAGCGGAUGACCUGUGGCUGGGGGUGAAAGGCCAAUCAAACCGGGAGAUAGCUGGUUCUCCCCGAAAGCUAUUUAGGUAGCGCCUCGUGAACUCAUCUUCGGGGGUAGAGCACUGUUUCGGCUAGGGGGCCAUCCCGGCUUACCAACCCGAUGCAAACUGCGAAUACCGAAGAAUGUUAUCACGGGAGACACACGGCGGGUGCUAACGUCCGUCGUGAAGAGGGAAACAACCCAGACCGCCAGCUAAGGUCCCAAAGUCAUGGUUAAGUGGGAAACGAUGUGGGAAGGCACAGACAGCCAGGAUGUUGGCUUAGAAGCAGCCAUCAUUUAAAGAAAGCGUAAUAGCUCACUGGUCGAGUCGGCCUGCGCGGAAGAUGUAACGGGGCUAAACCAUGCACCGAAGCUGCGGCAGCGAC